This 935-nucleotide ribosomal RNA is filed under the name uncultured archaeon. RNAcentral describes it as "bacterial SSU rRNA". It matches the Rfam family "Archaeal small subunit ribosomal RNA", at positions 1 to 922 of the family's 1478-position model. The record is from RNAcentral.
UUCCGGUUGAUCCUGCCGGAGGCCACUGCUAUGGGGGUCCGACUAAGCCAUGCGAGUCGAGGGGGCGUCCCUUCUGGGACGCCACCGGCGGACGGCUCAGUAACACGUCGGUAACCUACCCUCGGGAGGGGGAUAACCCCGGGAAACUGGGGCUAAUCCCCCAUAGGCCUGGGGUACUGGAAGGUCCCCAGGCCGAAAGGGGACCGUUAGGUCCCGCCCGAGGAUGGGCCGGCGGCCGAUUAGGUAGUUGGUGGGGUAACGGCCCACCAAGCCGAAGAUCGGUACGGGCCGUGAGAGCGGGAGCCCGGAGAUGGACACUGAGACACGGGUCCAGGCCCUACGGGGCGCAGCAGGCGCGAAACCUCCGCAAUGCGGGAAACCGCGACGGGGGGACCCCCAGUGCCGUGCCUCUGGCACGGCUUUUCCGGAGUGUAAAAAGCUCCGGGAAUAAGGGCUGGGCAAGGCCGGUGGCAGCCGCCGCGGUAAUACCGGCGGCCCGAGUGGUGGCCACUAUUAUUGGGCCUAAAGCGGCCGUAGCCGGGCCCGUAAGUCCCUGGCGAAAUCCCACGGCUCAACCGUGGGGCUCGCUGGGGAUACUGCGGGCCUUGGGACCGGGAGAGGCCGGGGGUACCCCCGGGGUAGGGGUGAAAUCCUAUAAUCCCGGGGGGACCGCCAGUGGCGAAGGCGCCCGGCUGGAACGGGUCCGACGGUGAGGGCCGAAGGCCAGGGGAGCGAACCGGAUUAGAUACCCGGGUAGUCCUGGCUGUAAAGGAUGCGGGCUAGGUGUCGGGCGAGCUUCGAGCUCGCCCGGUGCCGUAGGGAAGCCGUUAAGCCCGCCGCCUGGGGAGUACGGCCGCAAGGCUGAAACUUAAAGGAAUUGGCGGGGGAGCACUACAAGGGGUGGAGCGUGCGGUUCAAUUGGAUUCAACGCCGGA